UCCCGGUUGAGGCGCGCGUUGUCCUCGC
Molecule: small RNA, 28 nt
Filed under: Bombyx mori (domestic silkworm)
Lineage: Eukaryota; Metazoa; Arthropoda; Insecta; Lepidoptera; Bombycidae
Description: ovarian small RNA-27328
Source: RNAcentral